GGAUACUGUUGUUAAGCCCAUACCCAUGUGUGUGAGGUGGAUACUGUUGUUAAGCCCAUACCCAUGUGUGUGAGGUGGAUACUGUUGUUAAGCCCAUAACCAUGUGUGAGGUGGAUACUGUUGUUAAGCCCAUAACCAUGUGUGAGGUGGAUACUGUUGUUAAACCCAUAACCAUGUGUGUGAGGUGGAUACUGUUGUUAAGCCCAUAACCAUGUGUGUGAGGUGGAUACUGUUGUUAAACCCAUAACCAUGUGUGUGAGGUGCACGCCCAAUUUUUCAGUUUUUGAUUUGUUAAAAAAGUUUGAAAUAUCCAAUAAAUGUCAUUCCAC
Molecule: long non-coding RNA, 329 nt
Organism: Oncorhynchus tshawytscha (Chinook salmon)
Lineage: Eukaryota; Metazoa; Chordata; Actinopteri; Salmoniformes; Salmonidae
Source: Ensembl